UUCUAGACCUAUACCAUCACCCUGCACUCUCAAGUGUGCUGAAGAUUUGCCUACUGCAGAACCAAAGAGAGACCACCAUCACUGGCUGGACUUCCUGGCUUUUCUCCAGCCACCGCUCCCUCAGCGCACUGAUUGCUCUGAAUCAGCCGCUAAAAACUCUGCAAAAAGCAUGCAACAAACCCACGCGCCCAACAGUACUGACCAGCGCCUCUUGCUCCGAAGCGGUGACAGAGGAGGCAUCCGUAAGGGAGGACAUCUUGGUAUUGCACAUUUGCCUGCAGAGAAGAUCCCUGAGGCAGUCCCAAGCAGCUACACAGCAACUGGCCCAGGACAUCACUGGAAUGGCAGCAGACAGGGCUGCAAACUGAUGGUGAGAAUGUUUUUGGAAGAAGUGUGGUGUUGGAUUGCCUCAGCCUCCUUGUACUGUUUGGUGAUACAGCUGAGCCCAUCAAAUACCUCACUGAAAGAAUGCCCCAAGCUCAUCUGAUGCCCUGUUGAAACAAUGGCCUUGCCAGGAGCUGUGCAUUCCUAGCCAAGUAUUUCUUUGAACUGGCUUUGGCUCCUUUGACCACAGAUUUAUCUGAUUCAACAGCAGGAUAUUUACUUGUAUUUGCUGCUGUAUCAGCUUGCUUUAUCAAGAACACAUAAGACAUCAUAAAGAAAACAGCAAGGACACACAGCUGGAAGCAGAGAAUUGGAGAUGGAAAUGGGAAAUAACUCCUUCUGAAGGCAGGGAGCCAUUCAGUGGUCUUCUCCUUAUCAUCUAACCAUACUUUGAAUGUUGUAUCCUGUAUCAGUCACCUGGGUUGAUAAACCAGUUAGAACUGUGACCACAUUCCUAGAAGUUUCCCUCAGGUGUUACUCAGGGAGCAGAAAAGAGUGCAUGUUAUAUCACUGAUAAUUCCUUUAGCUCCCCAAAGCCAGCUUUUCCUGUGUUGCAAAGGAGUCGAAAGAUUUGCAAGAUGAGUUGUGUUGAUACUACCAAAGAAGGCACUUCUGAUGUAAUUUGCAGGCCCAUUGUGUUUUAUAACACAUUUGCUCUUUAUUUCAAACUGAAAGUGUUCUUUUCUGUGAAAGCUGAUGUAAAAAUACAAGUCUCAUUCCUUCUGCUGCUGUUGUGACUUUGUGACAAAAGUUACUGCCUUUACAACACAAUUUAUGCUGAAGGGAUUGUUGGAAAUGAUACAACUUCUAACAUUUUUAAUGUAACUUUAGUCAGUUCGUCUUUGCCCAGGGGGAGGGGAACUGAAGCUUCUCUU
This is a long non-coding RNA of Passer domesticus (house sparrow), 1259 nucleotides long. RefSeq lists it as uncharacterized. The transcript is spliced from 3 exons. The record is from RefSeq and is a predicted model, not a curated record. NCBI's taxonomy places the organism in Eukaryota, Metazoa, Chordata, Aves, Passeriformes, Passeridae.